Sinocyclocheilus rhinocerous is the source of this 223-nucleotide long non-coding RNA. RefSeq lists it as uncharacterized. The record is from RefSeq and is a predicted model, not a curated record. The transcript has 3 exons. Lineage: Eukaryota; Metazoa; Chordata; Actinopteri; Cypriniformes; Cyprinidae.
UCAGAAUACAAGUGAGGAUUUAUAGGACGGCCUGUUCGUACCUGCUCAUGGUCUUCAUUGAAGAUGCCAUCGAGUAUAAGGAUCUCCAGCUGGCCCAAGUGGACCUGGUCUUCCUGGACGACCUGGAUCGCCCUGAGAAGAAAGUACCUUUUCUCCCAGAGCCCCUGCAAGACCAGGUUCUCCAACAUCUCCAGGAUAGCCAUCAGGACCCUGUAAAAGGCAC